ACGGAAGGCAGCAGUGGGGAAUAUUGCACAAUGGGGGAAACCCUGAUGCAGCGACGCCGCGUGAGUGAAGAAGUAUUUCGGUAUGUAAAGCUCUAUCAGCAGGAAAGAAAAUGACGGUACCUGACUAAGAAGCCCCGGCUAACUACGUGCCAGCAGCCGCGGUAAUACGUAGGGGGCAAGCGUUAUCCGGAUUUACUGGGUGUAAAGGGAGCGUAGACGGCUUUGCAAGUCUGAAGUGAAAGCCCGGGGCUCAACCCCGGAACUGCUUUGGAAACUGUAGAGCUAGAGUGCAGGAGAGGUAAGUGGAAUUCCUAGUGUAGCGGUGAAAUGCGUAGAUAUUAGGAGGAGCACCAGUGGCGAAGGCGGCUUACUGGACUGUAACUGACGUUGAGGCUCGAAGGCGUGGGGAGCAAACAGGAUUAGAUACCCUGGUA
This 434-nucleotide ribosomal RNA is filed under the name uncultured Lachnospiraceae bacterium. RNAcentral describes it as "partial 16S ribosomal RNA". It matches the Rfam family "Bacterial small subunit ribosomal RNA", at positions 341 to 792 of the family's 1533-position model. The record is from RNAcentral. Lineage: Bacteria; Bacillati; Bacillota; Clostridia; Lachnospirales; Lachnospiraceae.